RNAcentral lists this ribosomal RNA (683 nucleotides) under Escherichia coli. Its description in RNAcentral is "bacterial SSU rRNA". It matches the Rfam family "Bacterial small subunit ribosomal RNA", at positions 108 to 787 of the family's 1533-position model. The record is from RNAcentral. Lineage: Bacteria; Pseudomonadati; Pseudomonadota; Gammaproteobacteria; Enterobacterales; Enterobacteriaceae.
GAGUAAUGUCUGGGAAACUGCCUGAUGGAGGGGGAUAACUACUGGAAACGGUAGCUAAUACCGCAUAACGUCGCAAGACCAAAGAGGGGGACCUUCGGGCCUCUUGCCAUCGGAUGUGCCCAGAUGGGAUUAGCUAGUAGGUGGGGUAACGGCUCACCUAGGCGACGAUCCCUAGCUGGUCUGAGAGGAUGACCAGCCACACUGGAACUGAGACACGGUCCAGACUCCUACGGGAGGCAGCAGUGGGGAAUAUUGCACAAUGGGCGCAAGCCUGAUGCAGCCAUGCCGCGUGUAUGAAGAAGGCCUUCGGGUUGUAAAGUACUUUCAGCGGGGAGGAAGGGAGUAAAGUUAAUACCUUUGCUCAUUGACGUUACCCGCAGAAGAAGCACCGGCUAACUCCGUGCCAGCAGCCGCGGUAAUACGGAGGGUGCAAGCGUUAAUCGGAAUUACUGGGCGUAAAGCGCACGCAGGCGGUUUGUUAAGUCAGAUGUGAAAUCCCCGGGCUCAACCUGGGAACUGCAUCUGAUACUGGCAAGCUUGAGUCUCGUAGAGGGGGGUAGAAUUCCAGGUGUAGCGGUGAAAUGCGUAGAGAUCUGGAGGAAUACCGGUGGCGAAGGCGGCCCCCUGGACGAAGACUGACGCUCAGGUGCGAAAGCGUGGGGAGCAAACAGGAUUAGAUACCC